CCUAAGCAAAUUUAUAUAAAAUAUUUUACACUUAAAAUUUUGGUAAAACAUUUUACAUUUGCUCUCUCCCUCACACCCCGAUACUUAUUAUUCCAUCACUCCCACAAUCACUUUCACGCUUAAACUCUCCCUCUCAGAUUUGUCCCUCUCUCGCACCCAUCACCGGCUCCAAGGUUUGAGGCACCAUCAGCAAGCUCCACCCUCUGCCAGCGCUGCCCAUCGCUGGCGAAACCCAGGUUCGAUUUCUACUCCUUGCUGGAAAAACACCUCAAAGUUCAGGAAGUUACUUCAAUUCUUGUAGCAGAUGGUGUGUCAAGUGAGAAGAUAUUAAAGAACUUCUGACAAACCAUGUAGUUCAUAUUGUUGUAUUAUUUUUGAGCAACAGUUAGUGAUUUAUUUGUUCGAACUGCUGAUUAUCAUUUCAGCUUGGUGUAGAAAAUAAAACAUAUUUUGGGAUU
This is a long non-coding RNA of Quercus lobata, 458 nucleotides long. RefSeq lists it as uncharacterized. NCBI's taxonomy places the organism in Eukaryota, Viridiplantae, Streptophyta, Magnoliopsida, Fagales, Fagaceae. The record is from RefSeq and is a predicted model, not a curated record. The transcript is spliced from 3 exons.